AGAGAGAGCUUGCUUUCUCGAGCGAGUGGCGGACGGGUGAGUAACGCGUGAGGAACCUGCCUUUCAUGGGGGACAACAGUUGGAAACGACUGCUAAUACCGCAUAAUGUACUUUGGGGGCAUCCCCGAGGUACCAAAGAUUUAUUGCUGAAAGAUGGCCUCGCGUCUGAUUAGAUAGUUGGUGAGGUAACGGCUCACCAAGUCGACGAUCAGUAGCCGGACUGAGAGGUUGAACGGCCACAUUGGGACUGAGACACGGCCCAGACUCC
RNAcentral lists this ribosomal RNA (268 nucleotides) under uncultured Oscillospiraceae bacterium. RNAcentral's name for it is "partial 16S ribosomal RNA". It matches the Rfam family "Bacterial small subunit ribosomal RNA", at positions 71 to 339 of the family's 1533-position model. Lineage: Bacteria; Bacillati; Bacillota; Clostridia; Eubacteriales; Oscillospiraceae. The record is from RNAcentral.